Molecule: long non-coding RNA, 857 nt
Organism: Tympanuchus pallidicinctus (lesser prairie-chicken)
Lineage: Eukaryota; Metazoa; Chordata; Aves; Galliformes; Phasianidae
Exons: 4
Source: RefSeq, a predicted model, not a curated record
AGAAGGAGCUGAUCCAAGUUGAAGCCCUCAUUUCUCCCGGCUGACACAAAACUGGGCAGAGUGGCUGACACAGCAAAAGGCUGUGCUGCCUUCCAGCGAGACCUGGAGAGUUGGGUGGGGAGAAACGGAAUGAGAAAGAACAAGGGCAGGUGAUCCUGCCCCAGCAGGGGGAUUGGACGAGGUGAUCUUUGGAGGUCCCUUCCAAUUCCUGACAUUCUGUGAUUCUGUGCAAAGUUGGUUCACGGUAGUACUUUUGCUGCUGGGAAAUAGGAGCGCUGAUCUUUGGGAAGUUCCGGAUGCUGUCAGGAGUUAUUCAAGCCCAUUGGUGUUAAUUUGACCCUGGACUGGCUGCUGCUUGACAUGCUGUCUGCACAGAGGUAACACAUGCAUUAAUUUGUUUCCUGUCCUCUGCUGUUUUGUCUCUUGUUUUUAGUUAAUGCUGAAAACCCACCUACGGCUGUGGUUGGGAAAUUGGUUCACUUGCUCGAUCGGACCCAGAUUUUCAGGAGGAGCUGGAGCUAGUGAAACUGUGUGAGGAAGCUGUGACCUUGAUCCGAUCUAAUCAACAGCUUGAAAAUGACCUCAAUCUCAUGGACCUCAAGAUUGGACUGCUAGUGAAGAACAGAAUGACACUGCAGGAUGUUGUUUCUCAUAGCAAAAAUCUUAGCAAGGAGAACAAGGAACAGCUCUGUGACGUGGUGACGCUGAACGAGCAAAAGGGAGGUUUGCAAGCUUGGAGCAAAGAGGAGAGGGAAAAGCUGGAAGCCUAUCAGCAUCUUUUCUACUUGAGGUAUGCAGCUUUUCAUUCACUGCUCUUGUCAUAGAUGCUUACGUGUAUUGGAACAGUCUGUACUUCU